AAAUAAGAAACAUAAAUGUAUAUUAAUUUCGACCUAAUAAAAGAUGAUAACAUCCUUAUUUU
RNAcentral lists this transfer RNA (62 nucleotides) under Stenocladius sp. FM17. Its description in RNAcentral is "tRNA-Arg". Lineage: Eukaryota; Metazoa; Arthropoda; Insecta; Coleoptera; Lampyridae. The record is from RNAcentral. RNAcentral also lists the same sequence under 2 other names.